AUGAACGCUGGCGGCGUGCCUAAUCCAUGCAAGUCGAGCGAACAGACGAGGAGCUUGCUCCUCUGACGUUAGCGGCGGACGGGUGAGUAACACGUGGAUAACCUACCUAUAAGACUGGGGUAACUUCGGGAAACCGGAGCUAAUACCGGAUAAUAUAUUGAACCGCAUGGUUCAAUAGUGAAAGACGGUUUUGCUGUCACUUAUAGAUGGAUCCGCGCCGCAUUAGCUAGUUGGUAAGGUAACGGCUUACCAAGGCAACGAUGCGUAGCCGACCUGAGAGGGUGAUCGGCCACACUGGAACUGAGACACGGUCCAGACUCCUACGGGAGGCAGCAGUAGGGAAUCUUCCGCAAUGGGCGAAAGCCUGACGGAGCAACGCCGCGUGAGUGAUGAAGGUCUUCGGAUCGUAAAACUCUGUUAUUAGGGAAGAACAAAUGUGUAAGUAACUAUGCACGUCUUGACGGUACCUAAUCAGAAAGCCACGGCUAACUACGUG
This 496-nucleotide ribosomal RNA is filed under the name uncultured bacterium. RNAcentral describes it as "partial 16S ribosomal RNA". It matches the Rfam family "Bacterial small subunit ribosomal RNA", at positions 29 to 507 of the family's 1533-position model. The record is from RNAcentral.